CGGGGUGUAGCUCAGUUGGCCUAGAGCGCUUGGUUUAGGACCAAGAAGUCGAAGGUUCGAGUCCUUUCACCCCGACCA
This 78-nucleotide transfer RNA is filed under the name Candidatus Peregrinibacteria bacterium. RNAcentral describes it as "tRNA-Leu". It matches the Rfam family "tRNA". From Rfam's summary of the family: Transfer RNA (tRNA) molecules are approximately 80 nucleotides in length. Their secondary structure includes four short double-helical elements and three loops (D, anti-codon, and T loops). Lineage: Bacteria; Candidatus Peregrinibacteriota. The record is from RNAcentral.